CUCCAGACAUGGCUGCUUCGUGCUUCUUACUACAGAGAUUCUCAAACUUUCUGACGUCAGCUCCACUUUUACCAAAGCAGUUGUGCUUUGCAUGUGCUAGAGGCAACAUCAAAUAUCAAUGAAAUACCAGAGAUCCUUUGUUAGAUUGUUCCAUCCACAGAAAUACAGAGGAGCAGAAAAGUAGUACUGGAUGAAUUGCUUUGGCUAAAUAAGAAUUCACCAGACCCUUCACCCAGACAGACCUUAAACUGAAUCACACCUAACUUACUCCAGACUCCUAAGAUGAAAACAGUUCAGUAAGUUGGUGAAACGAAGAAAUGCUGAACCACAUGAAAAUUAAAGCAAAGAGAGCAAAG
Molecule: non-coding RNA, 356 nt
Organism: Pelodiscus sinensis (Chinese soft-shelled turtle)
Lineage: Eukaryota; Metazoa; Chordata; Testudines; Trionychidae
Source: RefSeq, a predicted model, not a curated record